UUUAAAUAAAAAAAUUAAAGCUGAUCCAGAUAUCUGAUUUUCUAGAUAUAAAGAUUCAGAUCCGCUUGAUCUAAGUUUUAGCAUGCGGAUCCAUAUUUUUUAAAUGUGUGGACAUGGGCUAAACCCAUAUUUUUUUAUCAUCCCUAAUUAUGACAGAUAUCUUAUAACACUUUUAACCCUAAAAAUAAAAUUUCACAAAAAUGUUUAAAUACAUUCUAAAUAGUCCCAUGAAGUUACUAGAAUAUCUUCAACUUAAAAUGGAUAAUAUGGAUUACACGACUCCUGUACAUGGCUAAUUUGACUUUGGAGCUUGAAAAGAAGUUGAGAGUUGUCAUUAACAUUCAAAAGCCGGAAUUGGAAGUGCCAAUCAUCGAAACACUUCUCUACUGCCGAUCAUUGGAACACUUCAUUACUACCACAUUUGACAAUUUCUUAAGGUAAGUAUUCAAUUUUCCUUCUUGUAAUAAGUUCAUAGGGCUUUGAUAUUUUUUUUAUUUUAAAAAAAGCAACGUUGAAGAAAUAAAUGAAAUUGUUGUGGGUCUCUCAUAACAUAAUAAAAAACACAAACUUGAAAACUAUUUUUCUUCAUGAGAUGGGUUAUGUAGAUUACCAAUUGAUACAUGACUUCAUGUAACGCCCAACCCUUAGUUGUGUUAUACAUGAUUUUCUAUAAUACACGACUACAUGCGAUACACAAUCUCACAAUCACAUAACUUAUGUCAUCAUUCUUAAUUCAUUAGAAUAAUUUAUUUCUUUGAAAACUUAGUUUGUGCUAAGAAUUAUAUUUGUUGCUAUGCAGAAAAUGUCAACGAUAAAUAUUCCAAAAUAAAAAAAGAAAGCAACAAGCUGAAAGUAAAAGUUACUAAUUUGUCAUCAUUAAUCUAAUAUGAAUUAAAAAAAAAAGCAACUUAGUGAUGAACAACUUGAAAUUUUUCGCAAAUCAUGUUUUGGCACUUUUUAUACUCAAAAGGAAUUUCAGUUUUGUGCUCAACUAUAUGCACCAUAGCAAAGUCUUUUAAUUAAGCACUACUCACUAAUUGAUAAUUGUACUAAUUGGCCACCAUAUUCAAACCACACCUUAUCUUUAUCACAUUCUUCAUGCGCCACUUGCCUAAGUAGCACAUUGCGCAUGAUCCAAUCAUUGAACAUAAAAUUAUCCAUAUUUCGUGAAAUGGUUGAAUAUGUCUUUCUGGAAUAAUUUUAAUUGUCAUUUCAUCAACCUUCUUUUGAUAGCUUGCAUCACAUUUAUAAAUUAUGAAGCACUUUUGAUACGGUAGCGGAUAUGUUUGGGAUGCAGGUACGUUCAUUGUACUUGAUUCCAUCCUCGGUCCGGAAGGAUUAUGUUUUCCCUGUGACUUCUUAGCCAUUGUAUAUGAGCAAAAUUCAAAUUUUAUUCGUUCAUAAUGUUCAUUAAAUUGAAACUAAAAAUUAAAAUGAAGGACUUAAUUUAUUAAAUUUCCAAAUUAGAAGCUAUAUUUACUACUUACAUUUUAACUUUUACUCCUUCCUCCAUUUUUUGUUAGAUUAGAUAAUACAUACUAUCAAUGUUUAAUAUUGAAUGGAAUAUCUUAACUAUAUUUUUUGCUAGAUCAAUUAAUACAUACUACCCACCUUUGAUAUUGAAUGGCAGAUGUGAACUAUGGGAUAGGGUAAGACUUGAUAAUGAUAAAGUGGGGGAUGUAGAGGAAGAAAAGAAAAAAGUUAAAACUUAAACGGAAGUUAAGAGAAAGAAAAAGAGAGAGAAGGGAGAAUGAAGAAAUUAGUAAAAUUCAGUUUAAGAACCCUUAUAUUAUAUGAUUUGAUCUUGGAAGUUAUAAAUCUGGUGAUGUAAGUUAAAACAUUACUUAAAAGUCGCAAGAAAAAUACAUAUAAAAGAGAAAUACAAAUAGUUGUCUUUGACAAUGAUGAAUUGGAAUAUCAUAUCGAAAUAAUUGAAAUAAGUUAGAUCUAAAAGAAGGAAGUACAAAAUAAAUGGAAUUGAAUGAUGCUAUGAACUUCGUAAAAUUAUUGGAAUAAAAAUACCACCCAUGAAGGACAAUUAUUUCCCUUCAUGGACGAGUAUAAAACAACCUAGAAAGCUAAAGGCAAGCUAGAAGACAAGUUUCUGCCAUUCGUCCCAUGGCUCCACGGAAAUAUUUCAAAAAACCACUUAGAGUGGAUAUGACGUGGGGCUGUUUCAAGUAUUGGAGAAUACGUGAAAAAUAAUAAUAAUAAUGUAGGUUCAAGGAUGAAGAAAAGAGAACCACUUGGGCUAAACUCCCUCACAAAUGUGAGAGGGAAGUGGUUCGAGCCUCCGCAUAUUCAUUGCAUGGGUUUAAUUUAAAUGUCUUUUCUUGGAGUCCCAGAGCUUGAGUGAAGGCAGUCUUUCUCCCAGGUUGGGAGUUUGACGUCCUUUAAAUAUUUGAGAGGGUUAAAAAUAUGAGCGGUGCCAUAUCAACAUUAAUGUCAACAGAUCUCAGUAUAUAUAUAUAUAAUUAUACAUAUCAGUUAUACUCUCAUGUAAUAUGAGUUAUAAUUUGAGCAAUAGUCUCAUGUCAUCCAAAAAAAAAAAGGAUAAAGAAAAGAGAAAGAAAAGGUAAGAAAGGCUUUGAAAAAAUUUAAGUAAAAAUAACCCUCCCAUUGUCGGUUUCGAUAAUGGAAGCAAAAAUAUAAGUCGCGUAGUAUAGUAUUUGAUGUAACCCAAAACUUAAAAGAGGUCAACAUGUCACAUGUUGUUAACAUAUGACAAAAGCGCUGAUAUGUGCAUUUCUUUUAUGUAUUAUCAAUGUACGUAUUUUUUUUAAGUGUAUGAAUUAUUGGUAUACAUGCAUUAUGGAUAAAUAUUUGUUUAAUCUCUAUAUUUUAAAGAAUGCUUCAAGAUAUUAUUUUUAUUAAUAUAUUAC
This 2882-nucleotide long non-coding RNA is filed under the name Citrus x clementina. Its description in RNAcentral is "Citrus clementina (C. clementina) long non-coding RNA (CCLE_LNC001890)". Lineage: Eukaryota; Viridiplantae; Streptophyta; Magnoliopsida; Sapindales; Rutaceae. The record is from RNAcentral.